Lycium ferocissimum is the source of this 466-nucleotide long non-coding RNA. RefSeq lists it as uncharacterized. The transcript is spliced from 3 exons. The record is from RefSeq and is a predicted model, not a curated record. NCBI's taxonomy places the organism in Eukaryota, Viridiplantae, Streptophyta, Magnoliopsida, Solanales, Solanaceae.
CUUCUUCAAAGGCUGAAUUAUUGUCUGCACUACGUUCGACUCAAGAGGAAAACAAAUCCUUGAAUGAGACAAACAAGUCCUUGAAUGAUCGCUUGUCUGCCUUAGAAGAUGAGAUAAAAGAAUUAUUUGCUGCUCAACGAUCAUUUGUCCCGCCUACGACAUCGCCCGUUUCAUCCAAAUGAUCACUGAUUUUGUCUGCUAACCAAGCUUGAUGAUGUUGUUGGAUUACACCUAAUGAAUUUAGAUUGCUUUUGGGAUUUUGAAGAUUAAAGUUACAAGUCAAGAUGCAAGUUUAGAAGAUGCACGAACUCAUUAUUAUUUUGCUAGGAAUGUUAUGUAGAACUCGGUAUCAUAGUCUAGCUCGGGUUGUUAGCAAUGUUUUUUUGUUAAGGUGUCGAGCAAAUAUUGAAACUAACAUCAUGGGAUGUUAACCAUUUUAUUGUAAUUAAUAUAACUCUCUCUCUCU